UGCUGUCGGAAUAAACAUUGAUAA
This 24-nucleotide microRNA is filed under the name Spodoptera frugiperda (fall armyworm). Its description in RNAcentral is "sfr-miR-10488-3p". The record is from miRBase by way of RNAcentral. Lineage: Eukaryota; Metazoa; Arthropoda; Insecta; Lepidoptera; Noctuidae.